CUGGCGGCAUGCCUUACACAUGCAAGUCGAACGGUAACAGGCCGCAAGGUGCUGACGAGUGGCGAACGGGUGAGUAAUACAUCGGAACGUGCCCGAGAGUGGGGGAUAACGGAGCGAAAGCUUUGCUAAUACCGCAUACGAUCUACGGAUGAAAGCAGGGGGACCGCAAGGCCUUGCGCUCAUGGAGCGGCCGAUGGCAGAUUAGGUAGUUGGUGGGAUAAAAGCUUACCAAGCCGACGAUCUGUAGCUGGUCUGAGAGGACGACCAGCCACACUGGGACUGAGACACGGCCCAGACUCCUACGGGAGGCAGCAGUGGGGAAUUUUGGACAAUGGGCGAAAGCCUGAUCCAGCCAUGCCGCGUGCAGGAUGAAGGCCUUCGGGUUGUAAACUGCUUUUGUACGGAACGAAACGGUCUGGGCUAAUACCCCGGGCUAAUGACGGUACCGUAAGAAUAAGCACCGGCUAACUCCGUG
This 475-nucleotide ribosomal RNA is filed under the name uncultured bacterium. RNAcentral's name for it is "bacterial SSU rRNA". It matches the Rfam family "Bacterial small subunit ribosomal RNA", at positions 36 to 507 of the family's 1533-position model. The record is from RNAcentral.